GAUGAAGAACGCAGCGAAAUGCGAUAAGUAAUGUGAAUUGCAGAAUUCAGUGAAUCAUCGAAUCUUUGAACGCAUCUUGCGCUCCUUGGUAUUCUGAGGAGCAUGCCUGUUUGAGUGUCAUUAAAUUCUCAACUACACUGACUUUGAAUUGGUGUGGCUUGGAUUUGGGGGGAAAAUUGUUGUGGGCUUUUUGUAUAAUCUGCUCCCCUGAAAUUGAUUAGCGGUACCUUUGUGGAACUGUCUACAGGUGUGAUAAUUAUCUACAUCUUAGACAUCUGCUGGAAUGCUGCUUUCUAAACCUUACUUGUAUUGACAAUCUCGACCUCAAAUCAGGUAGGACUACCCGCUGAACUUAAGCAUAUCAAUAAGCGGAGGA
RNAcentral lists this unclassified non-coding RNA (376 nucleotides) under soil metagenome. RNAcentral's name for it is "partial contains 5.8S ribosomal RNA, internal transcribed spacer 2, and large subunit ribosomal RNA". The stretch from base 1 to 120 matches the Rfam family "5.8S ribosomal RNA", at positions 35 to 154 of the family's 154-position model. The record is from RNAcentral.